RNAcentral lists this ribosomal RNA (408 nucleotides) under Placospongia carinata. RNAcentral's name for it is "eukaryotic LSU rRNA". It matches the Rfam family "Eukaryotic large subunit ribosomal RNA", at positions 23 to 424 of the family's 3401-position model. Lineage: Eukaryota; Metazoa; Porifera; Demospongiae; Clionaida; Placospongiidae. The record is from RNAcentral.
ACCCGCUGAAUUUAAGCAUAUCAAUAAGCGGAGGAAGAGAAACUAACAAGGAUUCCCCCAGUAACGGCGAGCGAAGUGGGAACAGCUCGAGCCUGAAAUCCCUGGCAGCUGNUGCCAGAGAAUUGUGGCCGGGAGAGGCAGCGGUGCCCCGACUGUUGCUGUCGAAGUUGACCUGGAAAGGCACGCCAGAGAGGGUGAGAGCCCCGUGCACGACACCGACGGAAAGGGCCGCUACUGUCUUCGGAGAGUCGGGUUGUUUGGGAAUGCAGCCCAAAGUGGGUGGUAAACUCCAUCUAAAGCUAAAUACUGGCACGAGACCGAUAGCGAACAAGUACCAUGAGGGAAAGGUGAAAAGUACUUUGAAAAGAGAGUCAAAAAGACCGCGAAACCGUUAGGAGGGAAACGCAU